GAUGAACGCUGGCGGCGUGCCUAAUACAUGCAAGUCGAGCGAACGGACGAGAAGCUUGCUUCUCUGAUGUUAUCGGCGGACGGGUGAUUAACACGUGGAUAACCUACCUAUAAGACUGAGAUAACUUCGGGAAACCGGAGCUAAUACCGGAUAAUAUUUUGAACCUCAUGGUUCAAAAGUUAAAGACGGUCUUGCUGUCACUUAUAGAUUGAUCCGCGCUGCAUUAGCUAGUUGGUAAGGUAACGGCUUACCAAGGCAACGAUGCAUAGCCGACCUGAGAGGGUGAUCGGACACACUGGAACUGAGACACGGUACAGACUCCUACGGGAGGAAGCAGUAGGGACUCUUACGCAAUGGAGGAAAGCCUGACGGAGCAACGCGGCGUGAGUGAUGAAGGUCUUCGGAUCGUAAAACUCUGUUAUUAGGGAAGAACAUAUGUGUAAGUAACUGUGAACAUCUUGACGGUACCUAAUCAGAAAGCCACGGCUAACUACGUG
RNAcentral lists this ribosomal RNA (497 nucleotides) under uncultured bacterium. Its description in RNAcentral is "partial 16S ribosomal RNA". It matches the Rfam family "Bacterial small subunit ribosomal RNA", at positions 28 to 507 of the family's 1533-position model. The record is from RNAcentral.